This 407-nucleotide ribosomal RNA is filed under the name uncultured bacterium. RNAcentral's name for it is "bacterial SSU rRNA". It matches the Rfam family "Bacterial small subunit ribosomal RNA", at positions 28 to 433 of the family's 1533-position model. The record is from RNAcentral.
GAUGAACGCUAGCGGCAGGCUUAAUACAUGCAAGUCGAGGGGCAGCGGGAGUAGCAAUACUUGCCGGCGACCGGCGCACGGGUGCGUAACACGUAUGUAAUCUGCCCAUCACAGGAGGAUAGCCCGGAGAAAUUCGGAUUAAUACUCCAUAAUAGAAGAUAAAGCAUUUUAUUUUCUUGAAAGUUCCGACGGUGAUGGAUGAACAUGCGACUGAUUAGUUUGUUGGUGAGGUAACGGCUCACCAAGACUACGAUCAGUAGGGGUACUGAGAGGUUAAACCCCCACACUGGUACUGAGACACGGACCAGACUCCUACGGGAGGCAGCAGUAAGGAUAUUGGACAAUGGCCGCAAGGCUGAUCCAGCCAUGCCGCGUGCAGGAAGACGGACCUAUGGUUUGUAAACUGC